Molecule: ribosomal RNA, 253 nt
Filed under: uncultured bacterium
Lineage: Bacteria
Description: partial 16S ribosomal RNA
Rfam family: Bacterial small subunit ribosomal RNA
Source: RNAcentral
UACAGAGGUCCCAAGCGUUGUUCGGAUUCACUGGGCGUAAAGGGUGCGUAGGUGGCGAGGUAAGUCGGAUGUGAAAGCUCGGAGCUCAACUCCGAAAUGGCAUUGGAAACUACCUUGCUCGAGGGUUGGAGGGGGGACUGGAAUUCUCGGUGUAGCAGUGAAAUGCGUAGAUAUCGAGAGGAACACCAGUGGCGAAGGCGAGUCCCUGGACAACUCCUGACACUGAGGGACGAAAGCUAGGGGAGCAAACAGG